Molecule: long non-coding RNA, 1020 nt
Filed under: Vigna radiata
Lineage: Eukaryota; Viridiplantae; Streptophyta; Magnoliopsida; Fabales; Fabaceae
Description: long non-coding RNA (VRAD_LNC017888)
Source: RNAcentral
AUUUCUAAACCUUGGUACCAAACCCCAACUUAGUCCACUCUCACCACGAAACAUAGCUUGCUUGAAAAGCAACUAAAUGGACACAUUUCUUGCACCUAUAUUUUGACACUAAUUAUCAUUUGGGGAUUUAAAGAGUGCAUUCCAGCCCCUAGGUCUAAAAAUCGAAGACUUUAAAAAAUUUUAAAAUCCUGGUACCAAGCACCAACUUAGUCCAGUCUCACAACCAAACAUAGCAUGCUUGAAAAGAAACAAAUUUGAAACAAUUCUUGCACCUAUAUUUUAACACUAUUCGUCAUUUGGGGAGUUAAAGAGUGCACUGCGGCCCCUAAGUCUAGAAAACCAAGACCUUCAAAAAUUUCCAAAUCUUGGCACCAAUCACCAACUUAGUCUUGUCUUCCCACUAAACAUAGCAUGCUUGAAAAGCAACUAACUUGAAACAUAUCUUCCACCUAUAUUUUGACACUAGACGUCAUUUGGGGAUUUAAAGAGUGCAACCCUAAGUCUAAAUAACCAAGACUUUAAAAAAUUUCCAAAUCUUGGCACGAAGCAAAUACUUAGUCCAGUCUCACCACCAAACAUAGCUUGCUUGAAAAGCAGCUAAAUGGACACAUUUCUUGCACCUAUAUUUUGACACUAAUUAUCAUUUGGGGAUUUAAAGAGUUCAUUCCAGCCCCUAAGUCUAAAAAAAAAAACCAAGAGUUUAAAAAAUUUCAAAAUCUUAGUACCACGCACCAACUUAUUCUUGUCUCACAAACAAAUAUAGCUUGCUUGAAAAGAAACUAAAUUAAAACAUUUCUUGCACCUAUAUUUUGACACUAGUCAUCAUUUGGAGACUUAAAGAGUGCAUUCCAACCCCAAAGUCUGAAAAACCAAGACUUUAAAAAAUUUCCAAACCUUGGUACCAAGCACCAACUUAGUCCAGUCUCACCACGAAACAUUGCUUGCUUGAAAAGCAACAAAGUGGACACAUUUCUUGCACCUAUAUUUUGACACUAAUUAUCAUUUGGGGAUUUAAAGAGU